AGCAGAGCAGCGUGAGGACAUAUGUGUGGGAGAAGAUUCUAGAGGCUCUUGACGCAAUCUAGAUGAAAGUUGGUGAGGGGGGAGCCGCAGAGAAAAUCACUCU
Molecule: long non-coding RNA, 103 nt
Filed under: Capra hircus (goat)
Lineage: Eukaryota; Metazoa; Chordata; Mammalia; Artiodactyla; Bovidae
Description: T-cell leukemia/lymphoma 6 conserved region 1 (ENSCHIG00000002922.1)
Rfam family: T-cell leukemia/lymphoma 6 conserved region 1
Source: RNAcentral